UCAGGACGAACGCUGGCGGCGUGCUUAACACAUGCAAGUCGAGCGAUGAAGCUUCCUUCGGGAAGUGGAUUAGCGGCGGACGGGUGAGUAACACGUGGGCAACCUGCCUCAAAGAGGGGAAUAGCCCUCCGAAAGGAGGAUUAAUACCGCAUAAAGUUAGAGUUUCGCAUGAAACUUUAACCAAAGGAGCAAUCCGCUUUGAGAUGGGCCCGCGUCCCAUUAGCUAGUUGGUAAGGUAAUGGCUUACCAAGGCAACGAUGGGUAGCCGACCUGAGAGGGUGAUCGGCCACAUUGGAACUGAGACACGGUCCAGACUCCUACGGGAGGCAGCAGUGGGGAAUAUUGCGCAAUGGGGGAAACCCUGACGCAGCAACGCCGCGUGGGUGAUGAAGGUUUUCGGAUCGUAAA
RNAcentral lists this ribosomal RNA (408 nucleotides) under Clostridium sp. DJ-A1. Its description in RNAcentral is "bacterial SSU rRNA". It matches the Rfam family "Bacterial small subunit ribosomal RNA", at positions 24 to 429 of the family's 1533-position model. Lineage: Bacteria; Bacillati; Bacillota; Clostridia; Eubacteriales; Clostridiaceae. The record is from RNAcentral.